CGAUAUGCUUUGGGGAGCUGUAAGUAAGCUUUGAUCCAGAGAUUUCCGAAUGGGGAAACCCAGCAUGAGUUAUGUCAUGUUAUCGAUAUGUGAAUACAUAGCAUAUCAGAAGGCACACCCGGAGAACUGAAACAUCUUAGUACCCGGAGGAAGAGAAAGAAAAUUCGAUUCCCUUAGUAGCGGCGAGCGAAACGGGAAGAGCCCAAACCAACAAGCUUGCUUGUUGGGGUUGUAGGACACUCUAUACGGAGUUACAAAGGACGACAUUAGACGAAUCAUCUGGAAAGAUGAAUCAAAGAAGGUAAUAAUCCUGUAGUCGAAAAUGUUGUCUCUCUUGAGUGGAUCCUGAGUACGACGGAGCACGUGAAAUUCCGUCGGAAUCUGGGAGGACCAUCUCCUAAGGCUAAAUACUCUCUAGUGACCGAUAGUGAACCAGUACCGUGAGGGAAAGGUGAAAAGCACCCCGGAAGGGGAGUGAAAUAGAACCUGAAACCGUGUGCUUACAAGUAGUCAGAGCCCGUUAAUGGGUGAUGGCGUGCCUUUUGUAGAAUGAACCGGCGAGUUACGAUUUGAUGCAAGGUUAAGCAGUAAAUGUGGAGCCGUAGCGAAAGCGAGUCUGAAUAGGGCGUUUAGUAUUUGGUCGUAGACCCGAAACCAGGUGAUCUACCCUUGGUCAGGUUGAAGUUCAGGUAACACUGAAUGGAGGACCGAACCGACUUACGUUGAAAAGUGAGCGGAUGAACUGAGGGUAGCGGAGAAAUUCCAAUCGAACCUGGAGAUAGCUGGUUCUCUCCGAAAUAGCUUUAGGGCUAGCCUCAAGUGAUGAUUAUUGGAGGUAGAGCACUGUUUGGACGAGGGGCCCCUCUCGGGUUACCGAAUUCAGACAAACUCCGAAUGCCAAUUAAUUUAACUUGGGAGUCAGAACAUGGGUGAUAAGGUCCGUGUUCGAAAGGGAAACAGCCCAGACCACCAGCUAAGGUCCCAAAAUAUAUGUUAAGUGGAAAAGGAUGUGGCGUUGCCCAGACAACUAGGAUGUUGGCUUAGAAGCAGCCAUCAUUUAAAGAGUGCGUAAUAGCUCACUAGUCGAGUGACACUGCGCCGAAAAUGUACCGGGGCUAAACAUAUUACCGAAGCUGUGGAUUGUCCUUUGGACAAUGGUAGGAGAGCGUUCUAAGGGCGUUGAAGCAUGAUCGUAAGGACAUGUGGAGCGCUUAGAAGUGAGAAUGCCGGUGUGAGUAGCGAAAGACGGGUGAGAAUCCCGUCCACCGAUUGACUAAGGUUUCCAGAGGAAGGCUCGUCCGCUCUGGGUUAGUCGGGUCCUAAGCUGAGGCCGACAGGCGUAGGCGAUGGAUAACAGGUUGAUAUUCCUGUACCACCUAUA
Molecule: ribosomal RNA, 1381 nt
Filed under: Staphylococcus aureus
Lineage: Bacteria; Bacillati; Bacillota; Bacilli; Caryophanales; Staphylococcaceae
Description: partial 23S ribosomal RNA
Rfam family: Bacterial large subunit ribosomal RNA
Source: RNAcentral